UACCAGUGUCCAAAGUUUGGAAAUCCGACGCAAGCAAAGCUUGCACGAGGAUUUUUAAAUUUUGGACACGCCAAAACAUGAGUAAGUAGCCAUUUUUCGAAGAAAAAUGAGCGGAGUACGAAUGUUUUGAAGAUUGCGGGAGUACGAAGUACGGAGCAAUCUGGU
Molecule: small RNA, 165 nt
Filed under: Fusicatenibacter saccharivorans
Lineage: Bacteria; Bacillati; Bacillota; Clostridia; Lachnospirales; Lachnospiraceae
Description: Clostridiales-1 RNA
Rfam family: Clostridiales-1 RNA
Source: RNAcentral